GCCGGCCUAGCUCAAUUGGUAGAUCAACUGACUUGUAAUCAGUAGGUUGGGGGUUCAAGUCCUCUGGCCGGCACCA
This 76-nucleotide transfer RNA is filed under the name Staphylococcus aureus. RNAcentral describes it as "tRNA-Thr". It matches the Rfam family "tRNA". Rfam says of the family: Transfer RNA (tRNA) molecules are approximately 80 nucleotides in length. Their secondary structure includes four short double-helical elements and three loops (D, anti-codon, and T loops). The record is from RNAcentral. Lineage: Bacteria; Bacillati; Bacillota; Bacilli; Caryophanales; Staphylococcaceae.